Molecule: ribosomal RNA, 945 nt
Filed under: Salmonella enterica
Lineage: Bacteria; Pseudomonadati; Pseudomonadota; Gammaproteobacteria; Enterobacterales; Enterobacteriaceae
Also listed under: 2 other names
Description: partial 23S ribosomal RNA
Rfam family: Bacterial large subunit ribosomal RNA
Source: RNAcentral
CUGUGUGUUGUUGGGUAGGGGAGCGUUCUGUAAGCCUGUGAAGGUGUGUCGUGAGGCAUGCUGGAGGUAUCAGAAGUGCGAAUGCUGACAUAAGUAACGAUAAAGCGGGUGAAAAGCCCGCUCGCCGGAAGACCAAGGGUUCCUGUCCAACGUUAAUCGGGGCAGGGUGAGUCGACCCCUAAGGCGAGGCCGAAAGGCGUAGUCGAUGGGAAACGGGUUAAUAUUCCCGUACUUGGUGUUACUGCGAAGGGGGGACGGAGAAGGCUAUGUUGGCCGGGCGACGGUUGUCCCGGUUUAAGCGUGUAGGUGUGUGUUCCAGGUAAAUCCGGUUCACUUUAACACUGAGGCGUGAUGACGAGGCACUACGGUGCUGAAGCAACAAAUGCCCUGCUUCCAGGAAAAGCCUCUAAGCAUCAGGUAACAUCAAAUCGUACCCCAAACCGACACAGGUGGUCAGGUAGAGAAUACCAAGGCGCUUGAGAGAACUCGGGUGAAGGAACUAGGCAAAAUGGUGCCGUAACUUCGGGAGAAGGCACGCUGACACGUAGGUGAAGUGAUUUACUCAUGGAGCUGAAGUCAGUCGAAGAUACCAGCUGGCUGCAACUGUUUAUUAAAAACACAGCACUGUGCAAACACGAAAGUGGACGUAUACGGUGUGACGCCUGCCCGGUGCCGGAAGGUUAAUUGAUGGGGUCAGCGCAAGCGAAGCUCCUGAUCGAAGCCCCGGUAAACGGCGGCCGUAACUAUAACGGUCCUAAGGUAGCGAAAUUCCUUGUCGGGUAAGUUCCGACCUGCACGAAUGGCGUAAUGAUGGCCAGGCUGUCUCCACCCGAGACUCAGUGAAAUUGAACUCGCUGUGAAGAUGCAGUGUACCCGCGGCAAGACGGAAAGACCCCGUGAACCUUUACUAUAGCUUGACACUGAACAUUGAGCCUUGAUGUGUAG